This 22-nucleotide non-coding RNA is filed under the name Arabidopsis thaliana (thale cress). Lineage: Eukaryota; Viridiplantae; Streptophyta; Magnoliopsida; Brassicales; Brassicaceae. The record is from RNAcentral.
CAUAUGCUUGUCUCAAAGAUUA